UACGGAGGAUGCAAGCGUUAUCCGGAAUGAUUGGGCGUAAAGCGUCCGCAGGUGGCCAUGUAAGUCUGCUGUCAAAGCGUCUGGCUCAACCAGAUAAAGGCAGUGGAAACUACAUAGCUAGAGUAAGGUAGGGGUAGAGGGAAUUCUUGGUGUAGCGGUGAAAUGCGUAGAGAUCAGGAAGAACACCGGUGGCGAAAGCGCUCUGCUGGACCUUAACUGACACUGAGGGACGAAAGCUAGGGGAGCGAAUGGG
This 253-nucleotide ribosomal RNA is filed under the name uncultured bacterium. Its description in RNAcentral is "partial 16S ribosomal RNA". It matches the Rfam family "Bacterial small subunit ribosomal RNA", at positions 524 to 776 of the family's 1533-position model. The record is from RNAcentral.